UACAGAGGAUGCAAGCGUUAUCCGGAAUGAUUGGGCGUAAAGCGUCCGCAGGUGGUUUUGUAAGUCUGCUGUUAAAGCGUUAGGCUCAACCUAAUAAGGGCAGUGGAAACUAUGAGACUAGAGUAUGUUAGGGGUAGAGGGAAUUCCCAGUGUAGCGGUGAAAUGCGUAGAUAUUGGGAAGAACACCGGUGGCGAAGGCGGCUCUCUGGACCGAGACUGACGCUGAGGCGCGAAAGCGUGGGGAGCAAACAGG
Molecule: ribosomal RNA, 253 nt
Filed under: uncultured bacterium
Lineage: Bacteria
Description: partial 16S ribosomal RNA
Rfam family: Bacterial small subunit ribosomal RNA
Source: RNAcentral